UCGAACGGAAACCUUCGGGUUUUAGUGGCGAACGGGUGAGUAACACGUAAGCAACCUACCCUAAAGACGAGGAUAACCAUUGGAAACAGUGGCUAAGACUGGAUAGGAAGAUAAAAGGCAUCUUGUAUCUUUUAAAAGACCUAGUAAUAGGUAUGCUUUAGGAGGGGCUUGCGCCAUAUUAGUUAGUUGGUAGGGUAAUGGCCUACCAAGACGAUGAUGUGUAGCUGGACUGAGAGGUUGAACAGCCACAUUGGGACUGAGACACGGCCCAAACUCCUACGGGAGGCAGCAGUAGGGAAUUUUCGGCAAUGGAGGAAACUCUGACCGAGCAACGCCGCGUGAAUGACGAAGUACUUCGGUAUGUAAAGUUCUUUUAUCGAGGAAGAAAAGCAAAUGGCGAACCAUUUGUUUGCCGGUACUUGAUGAAUAAGCCCCGGCUAAUUAUGUGCCAGCAGCCGCGGUAAGACAUAAGGGGCAAGUGUUAUCCGGAAUUAUUGGGCGUAAAGGGUGCGUAGGCGGUCUAGUAAGUCAGUGGUGUAAUGGCAACGCUUAACGUUGUCCGGCUAUUGAAACUGCUAAACUUGAGUUAGAUAGAGGCGAGUGGAAUUCCAUGUGUAGCGGUAAAAUGCGUAAAUAUAUGGAGGAACACCAGAGGCGUAGGCGGCUCGCUGGGUCUUAACUGACGCUGAGGCACGAAAGCGUGGGGAGCAAACAGGAUUAGAUACCCUGGUAGUCCACGCCGUAAACGAUGAGUACUAAGUGUCGGGUUAAACCGGUACUGAAGUUAACACAUUAAGUACUCCGCCUGAGUAGUACGUACGCAAGUAUGAAACUUAAAGGAAUUGACGGGCCUCCGCACAAGCGGUGGAUCAUGUUGUU
This 879-nucleotide ribosomal RNA is filed under the name Candidatus Phytoplasma australasiaticum subsp. ipomoeae. Its description in RNAcentral is "bacterial SSU rRNA". It matches the Rfam family "Bacterial small subunit ribosomal RNA", at positions 62 to 946 of the family's 1533-position model. Lineage: Bacteria; Bacillati; Mycoplasmatota; Mollicutes; Acholeplasmatales; Acholeplasmataceae. The record is from RNAcentral.